GAGUUUGAUCAUGGCUCAGGACGAACGCUGGCGGCGUGGAUUAGGCAUGCAAGUCGAACGCGAAAGUAGAGCUUCGGUUUUACGAGUAGAGUGGCGAACGGGUGAGUAACGCGUAGGUAAUCUACCUUUAAGUGGGGGAUAGCCCCGGGAAACCGGGAUUAAUACCGCAUGUGAUCGAGUAAUUGAUCAAAGGAGGCCUCUAUUUAUAAGCUUCCGCUUAGAGAUGAGCCUGCGUCCUAUUAGCUAGUUGGUGUGGUAAUGGCAUACCAAGGCAGUGAUAGGUAGGCGGCUUUAACGAGUGGUCGCCCACACUGGGAUUGAGAUACGGCCCAGACUCCUACGGGAGGCAGCAGUCGAGAAUAGUCUACAAUGGGGGAAACCCUGAUAGUGCGACGCCGCGUGGACGAAGAAGCAUUUCGGUGUGUAAAGUCCUUUUCUAUGUGAGCAAUGUUAUAAUGUAUAAGAUAUAUUAUAGAGAGAUAUUAGCGUAGGAAUAAGCUCCGGCUAACUCCGUGCCAGCAGCCGCGGUA
This 530-nucleotide ribosomal RNA is filed under the name uncultured spirochete. Its description in RNAcentral is "bacterial SSU rRNA". It matches the Rfam family "Bacterial small subunit ribosomal RNA", at positions 9 to 522 of the family's 1533-position model. The record is from RNAcentral. Lineage: Bacteria; Pseudomonadati; Spirochaetota; Spirochaetia; Spirochaetales.